Molecule: ribosomal RNA, 1396 nt
Filed under: uncultured bacterium
Lineage: Bacteria
Description: bacterial SSU rRNA
Rfam family: Bacterial small subunit ribosomal RNA
Source: RNAcentral
GAGUUUGAUCAUGGCUCAGAUUGAACGCUGGCGGCAUGCCUUACACAUGCAAGUCGAACGGCAGCAUGAUCUAGCUUGCUAGAUUGAUGGCGAGUGGCGAACGGGUGAGUAAUACAUCGGAACGUGCCCUGUAGUGGGGGAUAACUAGUCGAAAGAUUAGCUAAUACCGCAUACGACCUGAGGGUGAAAGUGGGGGACCGCAAGGCCUCAUGCUAUAGGAGCGGCCGAUGUCUGAUUAGCUAGUUGGUGAGGUAAAGGCUCACCAAGGCGACGAUCAGUAGCUGGUCUGAGAGGACGAUCAGCCACACUGGGACUGAGACACGGCCCAGACUCCUACGGGAGGCAGCAGUGGGGAAUUUUGGACAAUGGGGGCAACCCUGAUCCAGCAAUGCCGCGUGUGUGAAGAAGGCCUUCGGGUUGUAAAGCACUUUUGUCCGGAAAGAAAUCGCACUUACUAAUAUUAGGUGUGGAUGACGGUACCGGAAGAAUAAGGACCGGCUAACUACGUGCCAGCAGCCGCGGUAAUACGUAGGGUCCAAGCGUUAAUCGGAAUUACUGGGCGUAAAGCGUGCGCAGGCGGUUGUGCAAGACCGAUGUGAAAUCCCCGGGCUUAACCUGGGAAUUGCAUUGGUGACUGCACGGCUAGAGUGCGUCAGAGGGGGGGUAGAAUUCCACGUGUAGCAGUGAAAUGCGUAGAGAUGUGGAGGAAUACCGAUGGCGAAGGCAGCCCCCUGGGAUAACACUGACGCUCAUGCACGAAAGCGUGGGGAGCAAACAGGAUUAGAUACCCUGGUAGUCCACGCCCUAAACGAUGUCAACUAGUUGUUGGGGAUUCAUUUCCUUAGUAACGUAGCUAACGCGUGAAGUUGACCGCCUGGGGAGUACGGUCGCAAGAUUAAAACUCAAAGGAAUUGACGGGGACCCGCACAAGCGGUGGAUGAUGUGGAUUAAUUCGAUGCAACGCGAAAAACCUUACCUACCCUUGACAUGCCACUAACGAAGCAGAGAUGCAUUAGGUGCUCGAAAGAGAAAGUGGACACAGGUGCUGCAUGGCUGUCGUCAGCUCGUGUCGUGAGGUGUUGGGUUAAGUCCCGCAACGAGCGCAACCCUUGUCUCUAGUUGCUACGAAAGGGCACUCUAGAGAGACUGCCGGUGACAAACCGGAGGAGGGUGGGGAUGACGUCAAGUCCUCAUGGCCCUUAUGGGUAGGGCUUCACACGUCAUACAAUGGUGCAUACAGAGGGUUGCCAAGCCGCGAGGUGGAGCUAAUCCCAGAAAAUGCAUCGUAGUCCGGAUCGUAGUCUGCAACUCGACUACGUGAAGCUGGAAUCGCUAGUAAUCGCGGAUCAGCAUGCCGCGGUGAAUACGUUCCCGGGUCUUGUACACACCGCCCGUC